GAGAGGGAGCCUGAGAAACGGCUACCACAUCCAAGGAAGGCAGCAGGCGCGCAAAUUACCCACUCCCGGCACGGGGAGGUAGUGACGAAAAAUAACGAUACGGGACUCAUCCGAGGCCCCGUAAUCGGAAUGAGUACACUCUAAACCCUUUAACGAGGAUCAAUUGGAGGGCAAGUCUGGUGCCAGCAGCCGCGGUAAUUCCAGCUCCAAUAGCGUAUAUUAAAGUUGUUGCGGUUAAAAGGCUCGUAGUCGAAUUUGUGUCUCGCGCCGUCGGUUCAUCGUCCGCGGUGUUAACUGGCGUGAAGCGAGACGUCCUGCCGGUGGAUUUAGCCGUUGGCCGAUUUCGAUUCGCGGGAGCUUCGGCGAACGCGCGUUGGCGGUCCAGCGGCGGUCCAACUCAAUCCUGCCGCGGUGCUCUUCACUGAGUGUCGAGGUGGGCCGGCACGUUUACUUUGAACAAAUUAGAGUGCUUAAAGCAGGCUAAAAUUUCGCCUGAAUAUUGUGUGCAUGGAAUAAUGGAAUAGGACCUCGGUUCUAUUUUGUUGGUUUUCGGAACCCCGAGGUAAUGAUUAGUAGGAACGGAUGGGGGCAUUCGUAUUGCGACGUUAGAGGUGAAAUUCUUGGAUCGUCGCAAGACGAACGGAAGCGAAAGCAUUUGCCAAAAACGCUUUCAUUGAUCAAGAACGAAAGUUAGAGGUUCGAAGGCGAUCAGAUACCGCCCUAGUUCUAACCAUAAACGAUGCCAGCUAGCGAUCCGUCGACGUUCCUCCGAUGACUCGACGGGCAGCUUCCGGGAAACCAAAGCUUUUGGGUUCCGGGGGAAGUAUGGUUGCAAAGCUGAAACUUAAAGGAAUUGACGGAAGGGCACCACCAGGAGUGGAGCCUGCGGCUUAAUUUGACUCAACACGGGAAACCUCACCAGGCCCGGACACCGGAAGGAUUGACAGAUUGAGAGCUCUUUCUUGAUUCGGUGGGUGGUGGUGCAUGGCCGUUCUUAGUUGGUGGAGCGAUUUGUCUGGUUAAUUCCGAUAACGAACGAGACUCUAGCCUGCUAACUAGGCGCUAAUUUUGACAUCGCAAAGGCCCGCCGGCCGUCGUUUCGGGAGCCCCGUGCGUUCACGCGUAUCGGGUCUUUUCGUUUGCGGCGCGUCGCGCGCGGUUUUUACUGUCGGCGUACAAACAUAUCUUCUUAGAGGGACAGGCGGCUUCUAGCCGCACGAGAUUGAGCAAUAACAGGUCUGUGAUGCC
Molecule: ribosomal RNA, 1248 nt
Filed under: Sitophilus oryzae (rice weevil)
Lineage: Eukaryota; Metazoa; Arthropoda; Insecta; Coleoptera; Curculionidae
Description: SSU rRNA
Rfam family: Eukaryotic small subunit ribosomal RNA
Source: RNAcentral